GAUGAACGCUGGCGGCGUGCUUAACACAUGCAAGUCGAACGAGAAAUGUAGACGGAAACCUUCGGGCGGAAGCCUUCAUUUCGAGUGGCGGACGGGUGAGUAACGCGUGGGUAACCUGCCUCAUACAGGGGGAUAACAGUUGGAAACGACUGUUAAUACCGCAUAAGACCACAGCAUCGCAUGAUGCGGGGGUAAAAACUCCGGUGGUAUGAGAUGGACCCGCGUUCGAUUAGCCAGUUGGCGGGGUAACGGCCCACCAAAGCGACGAUCGAUAGCCGAUCUGAGAGGAUGACCGGCCACAUUGGGACUGAGACAUGGCCCAAACUCCUACGGGAGGCAGCAGUGGGGAAUAUUGCACAAUGGGGGAAACCCUGAUGCAGCGACGCCGCGUGAGUGAAGAAGUACUUCGGUAUGUAAAGCUCUAUCAGCAGGGAAGAAAAUGACGGUACCUGAGGAAGAAGCCCCGGCUAACUACGUG
This 478-nucleotide ribosomal RNA is filed under the name uncultured bacterium. RNAcentral's name for it is "partial 16S ribosomal RNA". It matches the Rfam family "Bacterial small subunit ribosomal RNA", at positions 28 to 507 of the family's 1533-position model. The record is from RNAcentral.